GUUCGUGUAGCUCAGUAGGAUAGAGCGUCGGUUUCCUAAACCGCAGGUCGGGGGUUCGAAUCCCUUCACGAACACCA
Molecule: transfer RNA, 77 nt
Filed under: Bacillota bacterium
Lineage: Bacteria; Bacillati; Bacillota
Also listed under: 1 other name
Description: tRNA-Arg
Rfam family: tRNA
About the family: Transfer RNA (tRNA) molecules are approximately 80 nucleotides in length. Their secondary structure includes four short double-helical elements and three loops (D, anti-codon, and T loops). Further hydrogen bonds mediate the characteristic L-shaped molecular structure. tRNAs have two regions of fundamental functional importance: the anti-codon, which is responsible for specific mRNA codon recognition, and the 3' end, to which the tRNAs corresponding amino acid is attached (by aminoacyl-tRNA synthetases). tRNAs cope with the degeneracy of the genetic code in two manners: having more than one tRNA (with a specific anti-codon) for a particular amino acid; and 'wobble' base-pairing, i.e. permitting non-standard base-pairing at the 3rd anti-codon position.
Source: RNAcentral